Molecule: ribosomal RNA, 434 nt
Filed under: uncultured Lachnospiraceae bacterium
Lineage: Bacteria; Bacillati; Bacillota; Clostridia; Lachnospirales; Lachnospiraceae
Description: partial 16S ribosomal RNA
Rfam family: Bacterial small subunit ribosomal RNA
Source: RNAcentral
ACGGAAGGCAGCAGUGGGGAAUAUUGCACAAUGGGGGAAACCCUGAUGUAGCGACGCCGCGUGAGUGAAGAAGUAUUUCGGUAUGUAAAGCUCUAUCAGCAAGGAAGAAAAUGACGGUACUUGACUAAGAAGCCCCGGCUAACUACGUGCCAGCAGCCGCGGUAAUACGUAGGGGGCAAGCGUUAUCCGGAUUUACUGGGUGUAAAGGGAGCGUAGACGGUAAUGCAAGUCAGAAGUGAAAGCCCAAGGCUCAACCAUGGGACUGCUUUUGAAACUGUAAUACUAGAGUGCAGGAGAGGUAAGUGGAAUUCCUAGUGUAGCGGUGAAAUGCGUAGAUAUUAGGAGGAACACCAGUGGCGAAGGCGGCUUACUGGACUGUAACUGACGUUGAGGCUCGAAAGCGUGGGGAGCAAACAGGAUUAGAUACCCUGGUA